Molecule: ribosomal RNA, 253 nt
Filed under: uncultured bacterium
Lineage: Bacteria
Description: partial 16S ribosomal RNA
Rfam family: Bacterial small subunit ribosomal RNA
Source: RNAcentral
CACGUAGGGCGCAAGCGUUGUCCGGAAUUAUUGGGCGUAAAGAGCUCGUAGGCGGACUGUCACGUCCGCUGUGAAAAGCUAGGGCUUAACCCUGGCCUUGCAGUGGAUACGGGCAGACUAGAGGUAGGUAAGGGAGAAUGGAAUUCCCGGUGUAGCGGUGAAAUGCGCAGAUAUCGGGAGGAACACCGGUGGCGAAGGCGGUUCUCUGGGCCUUACCUGACGCUGAGGAGCGAAAGCGUGGGGAGCGAACAGG